ACGCCCAGAAGAUGGGACCAGGAAGGCUUCUGAGCAUCAUAUUUGCAGUCGGGACUGUCUACGGCACCAAGGAAUCUCUGGAGAUUAUUCCUAGCAAUGGGGAGGUGCAGUUGGGAGAGAAGACCAUUUUCUUGUGCAAAGUGAGAGGAAGUGGGGAAGCUGAAUUACUCUGGAUUGACCCCGAGGGGGAAGAAAUCUCA
Euleptes europaea (tarantolino) is the source of this 200-nucleotide long non-coding RNA. RefSeq lists it as uncharacterized. The transcript has 3 exons. The record is from RefSeq and is a predicted model, not a curated record. NCBI's taxonomy places the organism in Eukaryota, Metazoa, Chordata, Lepidosauria, Squamata, Sphaerodactylidae.